RNAcentral lists this unclassified non-coding RNA (957 nucleotides) under Lytechinus variegatus (green sea urchin). RNAcentral describes it as "uncharacterized LOC121424110, transcript variant X2". Lineage: Eukaryota; Metazoa; Echinodermata; Echinoidea; Temnopleuroida; Toxopneustidae. The record is from RNAcentral.
UCGACGAACGAUCGAAAUAAAUGCCGACACAGCACUGUCGAUGACAUCAGAGUUUAAAAGACGCCAUGCUCUAGUGCAUAAAUAAAAUAGUUUUAUUGAUGACGAAGAGUCUUUUUGAGUGAAUGAAUACCUGGCUACACUACCCCCAUCGCUUUGCAUAUAUACAUGUGGACAUGUUGCUCAUUCGCGUUAUAAAAUUUGCGUACACUAUUUUCCGGGUUAUUCGAAAUAUGACACGGGCAAGCAAAUUAAGCAUUAUGAUUUUCGGUUGACGAGAUAUCUUCAUCCAGCUCGUUUACAGUUGUUCAACAGAUAAACCACGUUGAAUGAUCGGUCAUACAACUAAACUGUUGUUGAUAAUGGCAAAUCUAUUAUCAUACUUUAGGUAAUAUUCAACAUAUACAACCGAAUACACCAGCAGCGAUCAUCCACGGAGUUUUCGACUUAAUUCGACUUCGUUCGACCCAUCAUGUCAAACCACGACAUCGUAAAGAUCCUAAGGGGUGAGGUGACGUACCCCUCCCCCGUUGAAAGGGGCAAGAAGGACACCUAUCACAAAGGUUACCAUGGUUACGAUUCUAGUUUUAGUACGAUCCGACAGGUCUCGACAUCGUCGUCGCUCUCAACUGCAUCACGGUCUUCGUUGAUUCCGUCGAGGAGUAUGAGGAUGACGAGGGCUAAUGUUGGCCUGCCGACGAUGCCUCGAGCAGACAGUUACCGCCAGAAGAGGACUGUUUUGGGAGAGAUUAAACGACUGAAAUCAGCAAUUAAGAGGGGUAGUUUUACCCUUGGCAAACACAAAAGAGAUGACAAGGCUCAUAAAGAUUGUUUGAACGCCGAACUGCAAACCUAUCAUGAGGGGGUGAGACUUUUUUGCGGAUUUGAUUGUACUCGUAUUUUCUUCUUUGUGUUUUUUUUUCUUUCUUUCUUUCUUUCUUUCGUUCCUUCUUUCUUUCA